CCUACGGGAGGCAGCAGUGAGGAAUAUUGGUCAAUGGCCGAGAGGCUGAACCAGCCAAGUCGCGUGAGGGAUGAAGGUCUUCGGAUCGUAAACCACUGUCAGCAGGGAAGAACGGUCACUGUGCUAAUCAGCAGUGAAUUGACGGUACCUGCAAAGGAAGCACCGGCUAACUCCGUGCCAGCAGCCGCGGUAAUACGGAGGGUGCGAGCGUUAAUCGGAAUUACUGGGCGUAAAGCGCUCGCAGGCGGUAUGUCAAGUCAAGGGUGAAAUCCCCGCGCUCAACGUGGGAACUGCUUUUGAAACUGGCAAACAGGAGUGUGUGAGGGGGUAGUGGAAUUCCGGGGGUAGGAGUGAAAUCCGUAGAUAUCUGGGGGAACAUGAGUGGCGAGGGCGACUAUCGGGCACAUAACUGACGCUGAGGGGCGAAAGCGUGGGUAGCAAACAGGAUUAGAUACCCGAGUAGU
Molecule: ribosomal RNA, 464 nt
Filed under: uncultured bacterium
Lineage: Bacteria
Description: partial 16S ribosomal RNA
Rfam family: Bacterial small subunit ribosomal RNA
Source: RNAcentral